GAACCCGUAGCUCAGUUGGCUAGAGCGUUCCCUUGACGUGGGAAAGGUCAGAGGUUCAAGUCCUCUCGGGUUCACAA
This 77-nucleotide transfer RNA is filed under the name candidate division WWE3 bacterium RIFOXYC1_FULL_39_7. RNAcentral describes it as "tRNA-Val". It matches the Rfam family "tRNA". Rfam says of the family: Transfer RNA (tRNA) molecules are approximately 80 nucleotides in length. Their secondary structure includes four short double-helical elements and three loops (D, anti-codon, and T loops). Lineage: Bacteria; candidate division WWE3. The record is from RNAcentral.